This is a long non-coding RNA of Pan troglodytes (chimpanzee), 3541 nucleotides long. RefSeq lists it as uncharacterized. The transcript is spliced from 4 exons. Lineage: Eukaryota; Metazoa; Chordata; Mammalia; Primates; Hominidae. The record is from RefSeq and is a predicted model, not a curated record.
AGAGUCAGGCUACCUGGGUUAACAAUAUUCUCACCCAGCCAUUUACUAGCUGUGUGAUCUUGGGAAGGUUUCUUGAUCCGUGAGCCUCAGUUACAUUAUCUAUAAAAUGAAGAUGAUAUUAUUCUCUACAUCACCUGUCUAUUGUGAAAAAUAAGCUUAGAUUAGACACUGAACCACAGCAGGGACAAUUGAGAAAGUUGUGUAAUUAUGGAAUGAAGCAUUCUACAUGUUUUUCAUUUGACCUACAGCACUACAGUGGUCCUGGGACUGUUGAAUUCACUCAAGUAAGAUACAUACAUCCUUGGGCUGAUGAAAACAUCUAUCAGUUUCUCUUUCCUGUUAUUCUGGGUCCCAGAUCACAGGAGAAUACUGUGUCUCAGCGGACAUGCUCAGAGAGAUUCUGUUGGAAUGGCAGUAUGUAAAUGAGCCAAAUACAGACCCACCACAAAGAAGAUGAUCUGAGAGGGCUAAUGAGAAAUGGGUAAUUUUCAUUCAUUUCUAAAAGAUAGAAAACAAUUGGAAGAGUAUAGAUCAAAGAAGGUGAGCAAAGAAAGCUGAAGACCAGAAUAUAUCCAGCUGCAGCUGAGGAGAAAGAAAAUUAGCCCUGCCGUAUACAGCGGAGACAGUGCGUGAAGAAAUGGCACGUAAAAACACAUGAAGACAAGAGAACUGUGGCUGGAAACUGGGGCCUAAUGGAAGUUCUGUAUACGGAAUAGGGCUCUUCUACUCCUCUGCUGAACACGGAAGAGCCUUCGUGUAAGAACUACCCUUCACAACCAGACUGAGGGUUUGUUCUCAAAAGCAACUAAGGAAUUGUCUGGGGAGGAAGACAGCAGCCAUGGAAUAUUGCUAGCUGAGAGCACAUCUUUCCUCAUCUGGCCAGAACCCUGCCUACUCACCCAGGGCAACAAUCCCUGCCUAUAUACACUGGGCUCUCAGUCAGCCUGUCUACUGUUUCAUUCCUAAACAUGAAAGGAAAACAAAGGAUUACCAGAUAUUCGGAGGAAAGUCUGAGAUAAUAAAAGAAAGGCCAAGAUAAACAACAGGAACACAUGACCUAGAAGGAACACAGAAUUCAGGGAAUAGAAGAAAAAAGAAUUUUUAAAAUAAAAGAACAAAAAUCCUCGAAUUGGUAUUUCUAGCAACAUUUAAGAAAAUAUGCAUAAAACCAGAACAGAAUACUCUGAGAAAGAAUACUUGGAAAUUUACAAAAAUAAUAGUAUAUAAAAAUCCAACAGAAGCACUGGAAGAAGAGGGUAUGGCAAGGUCUCAGAAUGUAAUACACACACACACACAAAACAAAGAAACCGAAAAUAUGAGAUAAAAGGUAAGAGAUGUGGAAGAUCUACGCAGAGGGUCCAUCAUCCAACAUACAGACUCUAGAAAGAGAAACAAAGAAACAAGAGGAGAGGAAAUUAUCAAAGAAAUAAUAUAAUUUCUUAGAAUUGACAGGAGACAUGGAAUUGAAAGUCUCUUCAAAAAAUAACCACAUUAAAUAAAAAAAGAACCACUCUAGAUUCAUCACUGAAAAUUCAAAACAACAAAAACGAGGAGAAUAUUUUUUUAAAAAGGAAAUUAUAAGUAAACAGUGAGGAGUAAAAAUCACAAUAGUAUCUGACUGCUCGGAAGCAACACUGGGUACUAUAUGUUAAGGCAGGAAUUAUCUCAAUGUUCUCUUGGAAAGGCUUUUUCUAAGAAUUGAUACUCCACCAAACUAACAAUCAAGGAGGGCAGAAUAAAAGGAAGUUCAGGCAUGGAGAGAUGGAGACUUAUGGCAUACUUCUUAGGAGGUUACUUAAGGGUGUAGUUAAGAAAGAUGAAGAAAAGGAAUCCAGGAAACAGUACUAACCAGAAACCAGUUAAGGGAAAGUUUAGAGUGAUGGCUUAUAGUAAUUUUAGAGAAAGCCUAGUCCUGAUUGAAGUAGGAGGAUAGAGGAGUUCCUGGAGAGUCCACUAGAACAACGCCUCCAGUAAAGAUGGGGUAGUGGAUAAAAUAGGUAACAUAACAGCAUAGAUUAUAUAAUGGGAAGGGAGGGAAGAGGAGGGGAAGGAGAAAGAAAGACAGCAUGAAAAGAAAGACAGAGAGGGAGGGAGAGAGGGAUGAAUGGAUGAAAGAAUGGAGGGAGGAAGAGGAAGGAAGGGACAAUUAGAAACUUAAGGAAAAGAAAAAAGAUAAAAACUAAAAAUGAAGCUAACUAAAAUUCGGCACAAUUUUGAUCAACAGGUGGAAUAUAUCUAAUAUAUUUUUUUAAAAAUUCCCCUUUGACAUCGGAACCACUGAGAAGUGUAAUCACAUAUUAUUAAAUACUUGGAUCAGUAAGUCACAAUAUUUACAUAAUCAUAACAAUGCAAAUUCAGUUUAUUAGUUUUUCUAUUUUUAAAAAUAAACCACAGACAAAUUACAGCACAGAACAUCAUAUCAACCCUGACUUAAGGAAAAACAUAAACUUAGAUUUAGAGAUUGGAAAGUAGAGGGAGAAAUGGAGGGAAGCGUAAGAGUGCUAAUGUUUUUAUUUAAAAAAAAAAAUAGCAGGGGAGCUCCAAGAAAUAGUCUUCUGUUUAAAAGAACAAGAAAUGGAAGUUUAAGUAGAUUUUUCUGAGGUUGGAGAAAUGAUUACUUAAGGAAUUGAAAAAAGUGACAAGACAAUAUGGGUAGAAACACAAGGAGGGAAUAAUGUGUGGGAGUAAAUCCUCGUUGUAGCCAGAAAUCAAUAGAUACCGUCUACAUUUCAUAGUGGCAUAAGCAUAUGGUUUUUAGAAAUAAAAAGGUGACAUACCAGAAAAACCAAAAGUCAGACAGUUAACUAAAGAGGCAUUUGGAGAGCAAGACUAAGGGUACGGAGGGGUGGAAAAGGGGACUGUCCUUUUCAUGAAGUGGUCUUCCAAACUCAAAUAUUUAACUGUAACAUUUCAUUAUUAAGUCAUUCACAUAUAUUUUUUCAAAAAAUUUUAAAUAUUGAGAAAUAUCAUAUACAUGAGAGAACAAAGAGACAUAUACAACCAUGCUUCCUGCAGCACUUUUUGUAAUAAAUAUAAAAAAGUGUUCAAACACCUUAAACAUCCACCAGUAGAGGAAUAAAUGAAUUGUGCUAUGUUUGUAUAAUGGAAUACUACAGACCAGUCCAAAUGUGUGAACUAAAUUAACUACAUCAACUUGGAGAGAGCUCAAAACACAAUGUUCAGAGAUAUUUUUGGAAUAAUAUGAAAGGUACAUUACAUUUUCAGUACUUCAAAGGAUUACUCUUCAUUGGUCAUGGAUACACACAUGUGAAAGUAGGAAAGUAUAAAUGCACAAACUAGACAAACACAGGCUACAUUCUUGAAAUCAUGGGUUCCUCCAGGAAGAGAAGGAGGGACCGGAAAUAGUGGAACAAGCAGGACAAAAUUUACCUGUAGUUUUUAUUUAUUUUAAAAAUGAAGAAAAUGCAGAAAGUUUUAAAAUGUUAUGUUAAUAUAGAGCUGUUUUCAUAUUGUCCUAUAUUUUCAUCUUUAUAUUAUCUGGAAAAACUAAUUUUAAAAGAGAAAAGGAAGUGGAACAUAC